GCCCAAGCUGCUGUGUUCUUAAGGGCAAGC
This 30-nucleotide non-coding RNA is filed under the name Rattus norvegicus (Norway rat). Lineage: Eukaryota; Metazoa; Chordata; Mammalia; Rodentia; Muridae. The record is from RNAcentral.